CUCGCAUCGAUGAAGAACGCAGCGAAAUGCGAUACGUAAUGUGAAUUGCAGAAUUCCGUGAAUCAUCGAAUCUUUGAACGCACCUUGCGCCUCUUGGUAUUCCGAGGGGCAUGCCUGUUUGAGUGUCAUUGAAACCCUCAAGAAGAAAGUCUUUCGGGGCCUUCUUUUUGGAACUGGAGUGUGCUGGCCUUUUCGUGGAAGAGCCCAGCUCCUCUGAAAUGCAUUGGCGAUGUGACAUCCUCAUGCCAUCACGCUUCUCUAGCAUUGAUAGUCUCUUUCAUGCUUUAGUGUGUUGUGCUUAGGUGGAAAGU
This 311-nucleotide ribosomal RNA is filed under the name uncultured fungus. RNAcentral's name for it is "eukaryotic LSU rRNA". The stretch from base 1 to 128 matches the Rfam family "5.8S ribosomal RNA", at positions 27 to 154 of the family's 154-position model. The record is from RNAcentral. Lineage: Eukaryota; Fungi.